This 29-nucleotide non-coding RNA is filed under the name Homo sapiens (human). The record is from RNAcentral. Lineage: Eukaryota; Metazoa; Chordata; Mammalia; Primates; Hominidae.
UUGAAUCGGUUUGAAGCCCGAGAGCGUGC